This 864-nucleotide long non-coding RNA is filed under the name Mus musculus (house mouse). Its description in RNAcentral is "expressed sequence AI507597". The record is from RNAcentral. Lineage: Eukaryota; Metazoa; Chordata; Mammalia; Rodentia; Muridae.
AAGAGAGAGGGAUUCACUCUGAGGCCUUCAUGUCCCCACCUCUCUAGGUCCCCAGCCCUGGCCACCUCCUUUCUCCAGAGCCCCCCCAUGGCCUGCCCAAAAGUCUAGGGCGAGUCAGGAGGGGACCGCGCUCCUGGCUGGGGCAGGUGUGGAAGGCCGGGGCUCACAUGGAUCUGUCCAUCCUGAUUCUCCUUCUGCUGUUACUGCUGCUGUUACUAGGUCGAUUAAGGCGCGAAUACCGGCUAAGCACCACAGCUCACCCAAAAGGGAGAAAAAGAUACUCAGGAGAUCCAGCCAGCGGCCCACGGUCAUCAACAGAAGGAAGAGGCCACCCAUGCGCACCAGCACCGUCUGGACCUGGCCCUGUAGGCUGAAGCGAUGUUGCCACUGCUCCUCUGUGGGACGCGGUUGUCACUGUCUCAGCCGGCACCUUCUGGAGAUCAGCUGGGGCCAGCCUGUUUCACUUCUCAGCUGCCUUCCCCGGGGAUCUUGUCAGCUUCCCUGACUGCCUUCCCACAGCCCUGCUUCUGUCUCUGGGCACCUACAGGACUUCUUACCCACCCUUAAGUUUCCCCCUGGUUGAGGACAGAGCCCUGCCAGUCGAUGGCAGGAAUCUAAGGUUCUCCCCCUUUCUGCCUGUCAGUUUGAAUCAUCCGCAGCUCAGUUGGCUUCUGCCAGUCUCUCUCUUGUUCCAUCCUGGUCCCAGCCACCUUCCCCUCUUGCCGAAGCUCACUCAUCAAGGCGCCUGAGUUUUGUUCCCGACCAAGCUCUACUGACCAUCUAAAGCGACCUAAACACACCAAUAAGAUGACACCAUCCCUCUGCUUUUAGAGAACUCUAAUGGAAGUCUUGUUUUCCACAGUC